AGAGUUUGAUCCUGGCUCAGGAUGAACGCUGGCGGCGUGCCUAAUACAUGCAAGUCGAGCGAACGGACGAGAAGCUUGCUUCUCUGAUGUUAGCGGCGGACGGGUGAGUAACACGUGGAUAACCUACCUAUAAGACUGGGAUAACUUCGGGAAACCGGAGCUAAUACCGGAUAAUAUUUUGAACCGCAUGGUUCAAAAGUGAAAGACGGUCUUGCUGUCACUUAUAGAUGGAUCCGCGCUGCAUUAGCUAGUUGGUAAGGUAACGGCUUACCAAGGCAACGAUGCAUAGCCGACCUGAGAGGGUGAUCGGCCACACUGGAACUGAGACACGGUCCAGACUCCUACGGGAGGCAGCAGUAGGGAAUCUUCCGCAAUGGGCGAAAGCCUGACGGAGCAACGCCGCGUGAGUGAUGAAGGUCUUCGGAUCGUAAAACUCUGUUAUUAGGGAAGAACAUAUGUGUAAGUAACUGUGCACAUCUUGACGGUACCUAAUCAGAAAGCCACGGCUAACUACGUGCCAGCAGCCGCGGUAAUACGUAGGUGGCAAGCGUUAUCCGGAAUUAUUGGGCGUAAAGCGCGCGUAGGCGGUUUUUUAAGUCUGAUGUGAAAGCCCACGGCUCAACCGUGGAGGGUCAUUGGAAACUGGAAAACUUGAGUGCAGAAGAGGAAAGUGGAAUUCCAUGUGUAGCGGUGAAAUGCGCAGAGAUAUGGAGGAACACCAGUGGCGAAGGCGACUUUCUGGUCUGUAACUGACGCUGAUGUGCGAAAGCGUGGAGAUCAAACAGGAUUAGAUACCCUGGUAG
Molecule: ribosomal RNA, 803 nt
Filed under: uncultured bacterium
Lineage: Bacteria
Description: bacterial SSU rRNA
Rfam family: Bacterial small subunit ribosomal RNA
Source: RNAcentral